CACUAUCGUUAACUGAAUACAUAGGUUAACGAGGCGAACCGGGGGAACUGAAACAUCUAAGUACCCCGAGGAAAAGAAAUCAACCGAGAUUCCCCAGUAGCGGCGAGCGAACGGGGAGCAGCCCAGAGUCUGAAUCAGCUUGUGUGUUAGUGGAACGGUCUGGAAAGUCCGACGGUACAGGGUGAUAGUCCCGUACACCAAAAUGCACAGGUUGUGAACUCGAAGAGUAGGGCGGGACACGUGGUAUCCUGUCUGAAUAUGGGGG
Molecule: ribosomal RNA, 265 nt
Filed under: Klebsiella pneumoniae
Lineage: Bacteria; Pseudomonadati; Pseudomonadota; Gammaproteobacteria; Enterobacterales; Enterobacteriaceae
Description: partial 23S ribosomal RNA
Rfam family: Bacterial large subunit ribosomal RNA
Source: RNAcentral